RNAcentral lists this ribosomal RNA (118 nucleotides) under Pteropus alecto (black flying fox). The record is from RNAcentral. Lineage: Eukaryota; Metazoa; Chordata; Mammalia; Chiroptera; Pteropodidae.
GUCUACAGCCAUGCUACCCUGAACAAGCCCGAUCCUGUCUGAUCUCAGAAGCUAAGCAGGGUUGGGCCUAGUUAGUACUUGGAUGGGAGACCACCUGGAAGACCAGGUGUUGUAGACG